RNAcentral lists this ribosomal RNA (484 nucleotides) under uncultured bacterium. RNAcentral's name for it is "partial 16S ribosomal RNA". It matches the Rfam family "Bacterial small subunit ribosomal RNA", at positions 30 to 507 of the family's 1533-position model. The record is from RNAcentral.
AUUGAACGCUGGCGGCAGGCCUAACACAUGCGAGUCGAGCGGAUGAAGGGAGCUUGCUCCUGGAUUCAGCGGCGGACGGGUGAGUAAUGCCUAGGAAUCUGCCUGGUAGUGGGGGAUAACGUCCGGAAACGGGCGCUAAUACCGCAUACGUCCUGAGGGAGAAAGUGGGGGAUCUUAGGACCUCACGCUAUCAGAUGAGCCUAGGUCGGAUUAGCUAGUUGGUGGGGUAAAGGCCUACCAAGGCGACGAUCCGUAACUGGUCUGAGAGGAUGAUCAGUCACACUGGAACUGAGACACGGUCCAGACUCCUACGGGAGGCAGCAGUGGGGAAUAUUGGACAAUGGGCGAAAGCCUGAUCCAGCCAUGCCGCGUGUGUGAAGAAGGUCUUCGGAUUGUAAAGCACUUUAAGUUGGGAGGAAGGGCAGUAAGUUAAUACCUUGCUGUUUUGACGUUACCAACAGAAUAAGCACCGGCUAACUUCGUG